UACGGAGGAUGCAAGCGUUAUCCGGAAUGAUUGGGCGUAAAGCGUCCGCAGGUGGCGAUGUAAGUCUGCUGUUAAAGAGUCUAGCUCAACUAGAUAAGAGCAGUGGAAACUACAUAGCUAGAGUACGUUCGGGGCAGAGGGAAUUCCUGGUGUAGCGGUGAAAUGCGUAGAGAUCAGGAAGAGCACCAGUGGCGAAGGCGCUCUGCUAGGCCGUAACUGACACUGAGGGACGAAAGCUAGGGGAGCGAAUGGG
Molecule: ribosomal RNA, 253 nt
Filed under: uncultured bacterium
Lineage: Bacteria
Description: partial 16S ribosomal RNA
Rfam family: Bacterial small subunit ribosomal RNA
Source: RNAcentral